AUACGUAUGGAGCAAGCGUUAUCCGGAUUUACUGGGUGUAAAGGGAGCGCAGGCGGUUUGGCAAGUCAGAUGUGAAAACCCGGGGCUCAACUCCGGGACUGCAUUUGAAACUGUCAGACUAGAGUGUCGGAGAGGUAAGUGGAAUUCCUAGUGUAGCGGUGAAAUGCGUAGAUAUUAGGAGGAACACCAGUGGCGAAGGCGGCUUACUGGACGAUAACUGACGCUGAGGCUCGAAAGCGUGGGGAGC
This 247-nucleotide ribosomal RNA is filed under the name uncultured bacterium. Its description in RNAcentral is "partial 16S ribosomal RNA". It matches the Rfam family "Bacterial small subunit ribosomal RNA", at positions 523 to 769 of the family's 1533-position model. The record is from RNAcentral.